Molecule: ribosomal RNA, 254 nt
Filed under: uncultured bacterium
Lineage: Bacteria
Description: partial 16S ribosomal RNA
Rfam family: Bacterial small subunit ribosomal RNA
Source: RNAcentral
CACGUAGGGGCCAAGCGUUGUCCGGAUUUAUUGGGCGUAAAGAGCUCGUAGGCGGUUCGACAAGUCGGGUGUGAAAACUCCGGGCUCAACCCGGAGACGCCACCCGAUACUGUCGUGACUGGAGUCCGGUAGGGGAGUGGGGAAUUCCUGGUGUAGCGGUGAAAUGCGCAGAUAUCAGGAGGAACACCGGUGGCGAAGGCGCCACUCUGGGCCGGCACUGACGCUGAGGAGCGAAAGCGUGGGUAGCAAACAGG